GCUCUACACGCUGAUCAUGGUGGACCCCGACGUCCCGGGCCACGGGCCGGGCAGGUUCUGGCUGCACUGGAUCGUCGCUAACAUCCCGGGUGGCGAUUUUGUUUCCGGAAUAUUCGACUCUGCCAACGUCAUAGCAGAGUACCAGAAGCCCGAGCCGCCGGCGGGCACGGGCGCGCACCGCUACCUGCUGCUG
Schistocerca serialis cubense is the source of this 193-nucleotide long non-coding RNA. RefSeq lists it as uncharacterized. NCBI's taxonomy places the organism in Eukaryota, Metazoa, Arthropoda, Insecta, Orthoptera, Acrididae. The transcript has 3 exons. The record is from RefSeq and is a predicted model, not a curated record.